GUUGGGUGCAGUGGUGCACACCUGUAAUUCCAGCAGCUCUGGAGGCUGAGGCAGGAGGAUCACAAGUUCAAACCCAGCCUCAGCAAUGGCCAGGCACUAAAUAACCCAGUAAGACCCUGUCUCUA
RNAcentral lists this small RNA (125 nucleotides) under Marmota monax (woodchuck). Lineage: Eukaryota; Metazoa; Chordata; Mammalia; Rodentia; Sciuridae. The record is from RNAcentral.